GAUGAACGCUGGCGGCGCGCCUAACACAUGCGAGUCGAACGGCACCCCUCCUCGGAGGGAAGCGAGUGGCGACCGGCUGAGUAACACGUGGAGAACCUGCCCCCUCCCCCGGGAUAGCCGCCCGAAAGGACGGGUAAUACCGGAUACCCCGGGGUGCCGCAUGGCACCCCGGCUAAAGCCCCGACGGGAGGGGAUGGCUCCGCGGCCCAUCAGGUAGACGGCGGGGUGACGGCCCACCGUGCCGACAACGGGUAGCCGGGUUGAGAGACCGACCGGCCAGAUUGGGACUGAGACACGGCCCAGACUCCUACGGGAGGCAGCAGUGGGGAAUCUUGCGCAAUGGGGGGAACCCUGACGCAGCGACGCCGCGUGCGGGACGGGGGCCUUCGGGUCGUAAACCGCUUUCAGCAGGGAAGAGUCAAGACUGUACCUGCAGAAGAAGCCCCGGCUAACUACGUG
This 459-nucleotide ribosomal RNA is filed under the name uncultured bacterium. RNAcentral describes it as "partial 16S ribosomal RNA". It matches the Rfam family "Bacterial small subunit ribosomal RNA", at positions 28 to 507 of the family's 1533-position model. The record is from RNAcentral.